Molecule: ribosomal RNA, 1610 nt
Filed under: marine metagenome
Description: bacterial LSU rRNA
Rfam family: Bacterial large subunit ribosomal RNA
Source: RNAcentral
AUAAUAUAAAUUAUCGCGGUAGCAGAGCGUUCUGUAGGCCUAUGAAGAUUUUCCGUGAGGAAAGUUGGAGGUAUCAGAAGUGAGAAUGCUGGCAUGAGUAACGUAAAAUCCUGUGAAAUUCAGGAUCGCCGGAAAUCCAAGGGUUUCUGCGCACUGUCUGUCAGCGCAGAGUUAAACGGACCCUAAGAAAAUCUACUAAUAUAUUCGAUGGGAAAUAGGUAACUUUCUUCAAAUAAUCCUAAUUCAUCUCUAUGUACGAAAAAAUACCUGCAAUAGGACUAAUUGGUUUAUCCGAGUAGUAAAAUUGGAAGUUAUUUUAUUACAUUUGCAUCAUUUUUUCCUGGAAAAUCGUAGAGAUAUUAAAGACCGUACCCUAAACCGACACUGGUGGAUUAGUAUAUUUUACUAAGGCGAAUGAGAUAACCACAUUGAAGGAACUCGGCAAAAUUCCUUCGUAACUUCGGGAAAAGAAGGACCAAAAUGUUUUUUGGUGACACAAAAUAGGGGAUAGCGACUGUUUAUUAAAAACACAGGUCUCUGCUAAAUCGGAAGAUGAUGUAUAGGGACUGACUCCUGCCCGGUGCCGAAAACUUAAGAGGACGGGUUAGCUUAAGUGCACGCUCAGAAUCUAUGGCUCGGUAAACGGCGGCCGUAACUCUAACGGUCCUAUGGUAGCGAAAUUCCUUGUCUACUAAUUAUAGACCUGCAUGAAUGGAGUAACGACUGUCCCUCUGUCUCCAAUGUGGACUCAGUGAAAUUGAAUUCUCCGUGAAGAUGCGGAGUACCAACGGUUAGACGGUAAGACCCUAUGCACCUUUACUAUAAGCUUACAUUGACGAAGAAGAUUUACUGUGUAGGAUAGGUGGGAGAUUAAUAUAUAGCUUCGGUUAUAUCUUAGUCAAUCUUGAAAUACCACCCUUUACUUCUUUUGACUCUAACCCGUACAGGGGACAGUGUAUGCUGGGUAGUUUGACUGGGAUGGUCGCCUGCUAAAGAGUAACGGAGGCGCACAAAGGUAAACUCAAGCGGUUUAGAACUCCGCUGUAGAGCGUAAUAGUAUAAGUUUGCCUGACUGUGAGACUGACAGGUCGAACAGGUACGCAAGUAGGUUAUAGUGAUCCGGAGGCAUUCGCGUGGAAGAGCCUUCGCUUAACGGAUCAAAGGUACGCUAGGGAUAACAGGCUAAUGGUUCCCAAGAGCUCAUAUCGACGGGACCGUUUGGCACCUCGAUGUCGUCUCAUCGCAUCCUGGAGGUGAAGAAGCUUCCAAUGGUUCGGCUGUUCGCCGAUUAAAGCGAUACGUGAGAUGGGUUUAGAACGUCGUGAGACAGUUCGGUUCCUAUCUUCCGUUGGUGUUAAAAAUUGAGAGAGUGGACUCCUAGUACGAGAGGACCGGAGUCUAUCAACCUAUGGUCGACCAGUUGUUGUACCAACAGCACAGCUGGAUAGCUACGUUGAAUUAGAGAACUACUGAAAGCAUCUAAGUAGGAAGCUUUUCUCAAAACAAGUUUUUUAUAAGCUCGUAGAAGAUGACUACGUAGAUAGGCAAAAUGUGAAACCAGGGUAACCUGAAUAGCUCAUUUGUACUAAUUGCUUAUUACUCUUUAUACU